Molecule: transfer RNA, 71 nt
Filed under: Ceratocystis platani
Lineage: Eukaryota; Fungi; Ascomycota; Sordariomycetes; Microascales; Ceratocystidaceae
Rfam family: tRNA
About the family: Transfer RNA (tRNA) molecules are approximately 80 nucleotides in length. Their secondary structure includes four short double-helical elements and three loops (D, anti-codon, and T loops).
Source: Rfam by way of RNAcentral
GGGGAUGUAUUUUAGUGGUAGAAUAUUUGCUUUGCACGCGAAAGACGCGAGUUCGAUUCUCGCCAUCUCCA